Molecule: ribosomal RNA, 429 nt
Filed under: uncultured prokaryote
Also listed under: 1 other name
Description: bacterial SSU rRNA
Rfam family: Bacterial small subunit ribosomal RNA
Source: RNAcentral
UGGGGAAUUUUGGACAAUGGGCGAAAGCCUGAUCCAGCAAUGCCGCGUGCAGGAUGAAGGCCCUCGGGUUGUAAACUGCUUUUGUACGGAACGAAAAGCUUCUGGUUAAUACCUGGGAGUCAUGACGGUACCGUAAGAAUAAGCACCGGCUAACUACGUGCCAGCAGCCGCGGUAAUACGUAGGGUGCAAGCGUUAAUCGGAAUUACUGGGCGUAAAGCAUGCGCAGGCGGUUUUGUAAGACAGUGGUGAAAUCCCCGGGCUCAACCUGGGAACUGCCAUUGUGACUGCAAGGCUAGAGUGCGGCAGAGGGGGAUGGAAUUCCGCGUGUAGCAGUGAAAUGCGUAGAUAUGCGGAGGAACACCGAUGGCGAAGGCAAUCCCCUGGGCCUGCACUGACGCUCAUGCACGAAAGCGUGGGGAGAAAACAGG